This 495-nucleotide ribosomal RNA is filed under the name uncultured bacterium. Its description in RNAcentral is "partial 16S ribosomal RNA". It matches the Rfam family "Bacterial small subunit ribosomal RNA", at positions 28 to 507 of the family's 1533-position model. The record is from RNAcentral.
GACGAACGCUGGCGGCGUGCCUAAUACAUGCAAGUAGAACGCUGAAGGAGGAGCUUGCUUCUCUGGAUGAGUUGCGAACGGGUGAGUAACGCGUAGGUAACCUGCCUGGUAGCGGGGGAUAACUAUUGGAAACGAUAUCUAAUACCGCAUAAUAGUAGAUGUCGCAUGACAUUUGCUUCAAAGGUGCAAUUGCAUCACUACCAGAUGGACCUGCGUUGUAUUAGCUAGUUGGUGAGGUAACGGCUCACCAAGGCAACGAUACAUAGCCGACCUGAGAGGGUGAUCGGCCACACUGGGACUGAGACACGGCCCAGACUCCUACGGGAGGCAGCAGUAGGGAAUCUUCGGCAAUGGACGGAAGUCUGACCGAGCAACGCCGCGUGAGUGAAGAAGGUUGUCGGAUCGUAAAGCUCUGUUGUAAGAGAAGAACGAGUGUGAGAGUGGAAAGUUCACACUGUGACGGUAUCUUACCAGAAAGGGACGGCUAACUACGUG